CUCUUUUUACUCCACUAUUUCUUCCAGUUAUGCCCUUAUUGAAUUUGCUGCUAGUGAAAAGUAUGAAUUCUCCAGGCUGUAAGUUCUGGUUUCUAUAUCCAGUUUAAUAUGAUUUAUGCGUUCAAGCAAGUUUUUCUCAACAGAUAUGGGUGAAGACUGCUGAAGUUUUGGGCACGUGACCGUCCUCCUAGGGUCAUACACCGUCAAGCCUGUCCUUGGCAGAUUGAAACUUACAUUGAUGCCUUCGGUGGUGAACCUGAUCUUCAAUGAUGAUCUCUCGUGACAACUAAAGCUCAGUAAUUUGUAAAUCCUUGACCCUCCACGUAAUAGUAUUAAUUUAAGGGGAGAGCUACAACGUAUAUAACUGUAGCAUAU
Prosopis cineraria is the source of this 375-nucleotide long non-coding RNA. RefSeq lists it as uncharacterized. The record is from RefSeq and is a predicted model, not a curated record. The transcript is spliced from 3 exons. Lineage: Eukaryota; Viridiplantae; Streptophyta; Magnoliopsida; Fabales; Fabaceae.